CCUGUGCUCCACGUGAUGUCUGCUACUGGGCUUGCAAUGUUUCCUCCAAGUAUGGUGUGCAGACAUCUGCAUCAGAAUCACUUGUGAGUGCCUGUUAUAAAGUAUUGGAUUGCAACCCAAUUCUACUGAAUUACAGUCUUACAGGCCUUCUGAAAAGAAGUUCUACUCAUCCUUCCAAGCCUAUAGAACCAAGGAUAAGGAGAAGCUAGGAGCCUAAAAUAUAGAAAAGAAAUGAUAUAUUCACAAGACGCUGUCAGAAAAGCAUACUGAUCACAAAAUCAUGACAUUCGAGAGGGAAUUUUAUAGCAUGUGCCGAAUCCUGAGGUCAAAACCAUAGUGGAAUAACAUAGCUCCCUCUAAACCUCUUAGACACCAUCCUCUGUGUGAGUAGUCCUCACUGCUUUUUUUCUACAUUCAAUAGGGUUACAGUUUCAAUUGCAUAGCCUCUGUGUUACAUUUACGAUAACAAUACUUCAAAAAAAUCUGUUACAUCCUUUUGAAAUCAAAGUUCAGAGGAUUGCUUCUAAGCUAGGACAUAGAAAUGGAGUAUUUCUUUAGGACUUUUUAUCUUUAUUUUACUGAUUAUACUAUAAUUGUGGGGGCCAUCUCAAAUACAAUUUUAAACAUCAUCAAUGUAUUUGGUGAAAGAUAUCAAAGGUGGGUUGUAAGAAUUAUGUCUAUGAUUAUGCCACUGGAUGGCAAAAUACGGAUGUAUCUGUCAUUAGUUUUCUAGCCCAUAAAAUCACACUUUUUAAAAAAGGCUAACAGCGGUUAUUACCUAAUUUAUAAGUAAUCGUAUGGAGUGAUGUAAAGUAGCCUGUCGUUUUUAAUACUUUUUUUGUGAUUAAGUAAGUUUGCGUCUAUUCUUUGCAGUGACUUUAAGUGUUCUUGGCUGGUUUUUGUUGUUUUUGUUGUUGUUGUUGUUUUUAAUGGAGUCUUGCUCUGUCACCAGGCUGGAGUGCAGUGGCACGAUCUUGGCUCACUGCAAGCUCCGCCUCCCGGGUUCAAGCAAUUCUCCUGCCUCAGCCUCCCAAGUAGCUGGGACUACAGGUGUGUGCCACCACGCCCAGCUAAUUUUUGUAUUUUUAGUAGAGACGGGGUUUCACCAUGUUGGUCAGGAUGGUCUCGAUCUCUUGACUUUGUGAUCAGCCUGCCUCAGCCUCUUAAAGUGCUGGGAUUACAGGUGUCAGUCACCGCACCUGGUCCUUGGCCACCUUUAUACCUCUGCCAAAUAAAAAGAAAAGUAUGAAACAAAAAGAAGAUUCCAGUUAUCUCAUAUUAUUCACAGCCUCAUGUCUAAACUACACCUCCAAGACCCCACAUCACUCUAUAGUGUUAUGAUUUGAAGUCUGUCUCCCACAAAAGAUAUCCUGAAAUCCUG
Molecule: long non-coding RNA, 1381 nt
Filed under: Homo sapiens (human)
Lineage: Eukaryota; Metazoa; Chordata; Mammalia; Primates; Hominidae
Description: non-protein coding lnc-LURAP1L-1:1
Source: RNAcentral